CCUACGGGUGGCAGCAGUGAGGAAUAUUGGUCAAUGGACGAGAGUCUGAACCAGCCACGUAGCGUGAAGGAUGAAUGCCCUAUGGGUUGAAAACUUCUUUUAUAUGGGAAUAAAAUGUUCCACGUGUGUGAUUUUGUAUUUACCAUAUGAAUAAGGAUCGGCUAACUCCGUGCCAGCCGCCGCGGUAAUACGGUGGAUCCGAGCGUUGUCCGGAUUUAUUGGGUUUAAAGGGAGCGUAGGGGGAUUGGUAAGUCAGUUGUGAAAGUUUGCGGCUCAACCGUAAAAUUGCAGUUGAAACUGGCAGUCUUGAGUACAGUAGAGGUAGGCGGAAUUCGUGGUGUAGCGGUGAAAUGCUUAGAUAUCACGAAGAACUCCGAUUGCGAAGGCAGCUCACUGGACUGCAACUGACACUGAGGCUCGAAAGUGUGGGUAUCAAACAGGAUUAGAUACCCCGGUAGUC
This 460-nucleotide ribosomal RNA is filed under the name uncultured bacterium. RNAcentral's name for it is "partial 16S ribosomal RNA". It matches the Rfam family "Bacterial small subunit ribosomal RNA", at positions 338 to 795 of the family's 1533-position model. The record is from RNAcentral.